AGACAUGUUCAAAACAAGUGACGUGGAAAUUUCCAUAUUUCAACAUUCGCACGAACAUCUCCAACAGCCAGUACAUCUCUAUAACAAGUUUACCGUCCGUUACGUUGUAGAACUUGACACACGUGCCCGCUCCGUAAGCUGCGAAUAUGUCUUGAUUGCCAAUCAUCCACGUUAAUCCCACAACUGUACUGUCCACGGAAAUAAUUUGCUGAUUGACAUGCUACGUCCAUGUAACACAAUUACGUAACGUUGAAAUUAUUUAUAAAAAUGUAAUGCUAGUCAGUAUUAAAUUGGUUAUAUAGUAAUUAUUAUUUAUUUUAAGUAUUGAAAGCACUAUUGUUAGUACUUUUAAUACUAAAAAUGAGUAAUAAUUACUAAUUUAAUAUUGUUUAGUGUUACAGUUUUAUAAGGAUUGUAAAGAUAAAAAUAAAAUAUGUAAUAAAUAAAUUUUGAUAAAAUUUUACUA
Monomorium pharaonis (pharaoh ant) is the source of this 466-nucleotide long non-coding RNA. RefSeq lists it as uncharacterized. The record is from RefSeq and is a predicted model, not a curated record. The transcript is spliced from 2 exons. NCBI's taxonomy places the organism in Eukaryota, Metazoa, Arthropoda, Insecta, Hymenoptera, Formicidae.